AUCUAGUUAGUUAUAUCAAGAGUUUAAAAUUCUCCUAGCGAUGGAAGCACAUAUUCUUGUUUACUGGCAAAGCCGUUACCACUUAACUUGUAUCAGAUUCUGACUUGCACAAGUAACACUC
RNAcentral lists this small nucleolar RNA (121 nucleotides) under Nannospalax galili (Upper Galilee mountains blind mole rat). RNAcentral's name for it is "Small nucleolar RNA SNORA24 (ENSNGAG00000007530.1)". It matches the Rfam family "Small nucleolar RNA SNORA24". Rfam says of the family: ACA24 is a member of the H/ACA class of snoRNA that guide the sites of modification of uridines to pseudouridines. Lineage: Eukaryota; Metazoa; Chordata; Mammalia; Rodentia; Spalacidae. The record is from RNAcentral.